This 667-nucleotide ribosomal RNA is filed under the name alpha proteobacterium IMCC14419. RNAcentral describes it as "bacterial SSU rRNA". It matches the Rfam family "Bacterial small subunit ribosomal RNA", at positions 28 to 743 of the family's 1533-position model. RNAcentral also lists the same sequence under 5 other names. Lineage: Bacteria; Pseudomonadati; Pseudomonadota; Alphaproteobacteria. The record is from RNAcentral.
AACGAACGCUGGCGGCAGGCCUAACACAUGCAAGUCGAGCGCGCCUUCGGGUGAGCGGCGGACGGGUUAGUAACGCGUGGGAACGUACCCUUCUCUACGGAAUAGCCUUUGGAAACGAAGAGUAAUACCGUAUACGCCCUUUGGGGGAAAGAUUUAUCGGAGAAGGAUCGGCCCGCGUUAGAUUAGAUAGUUGGUGGGGUAACGGCCUACCAAGUCUACGAUCUAUAGCUGGUUUUAGAGGAUGAUCAGCAACACUGGGACUGAGACACGGCCCAGACUCCUACGGGAGGCAGCAGUGGGGAAUCUUAGACAAUGGGCGCAAGCCUGAUCUAGCCAUGCCGCGUGAGUGAUGAAGGCCUUAGGGUCGUAAAGCUCUUUCGCCUGUGAUGAUAAUGACAGUAGCAGGUAAAGAAACCCCGGCUAACUCCGUGCCAGCAGCCGCGGUAAUACGGAGGGGGUUAGCGUUGUUCGGAAUUACUGGGCGUAAAGCGCACGUAGGCGGAUUGGAAAGUUGGGGGUGAAAUCCCGGGGCUCAACCCCGGAACUGCCUCCAAAACUAUCAGUCUAGAGUUCGAGAGAGGUGAGUGGAAUUCCAAGUGUAGAGGUGAAAUUCGUAGAUAUUUGGAGGAACACCAGUGGCGAAGGCGGCUCACUGGCUCGAUACUGA